This 241-nucleotide ribosomal RNA is filed under the name uncultured bacterium. RNAcentral's name for it is "partial 16S ribosomal RNA". It matches the Rfam family "Bacterial small subunit ribosomal RNA", at positions 15 to 236 of the family's 1533-position model. The record is from RNAcentral.
GAUCAUGGCUCAGGAUGAACGCUGGCGGCGUGCUUAACACAUGCAAGUCGAGCGAAGCACUUAAGUUUGAUUCUUCGGAUGAAGACUUUUGUGACUGAGCGGCGGACGGGUGAGUAACGCGUGGGUAACCUGCCUCAUACAGGGGGAUAACAGUUAGAAAUGACUGCUAAUACCGCAUAAGACCACGGUACCGUUCAUGGUACAGUGGUAAAAACUCCGGUGGUAUGAGAUGGACCCGCGU